UUUUUAGCAGGAUCGACCUCGACUCCUCUUAUCCGCUCACAAGCCUCGGCAGCUUGCUGGACAACACUCCAUAAGUGCACUGAUUCGAACUUAACAGUAUGAGUUAUCUCAAACCGGUCAGACAACUUGAUCCACCGGAUGCCCCUCUUCUGCUAGGGACUUUGCCAUCAUGUCAUCAACAUGGCAUUCUCUUUCACGAUGAGUCAUAUCAUGAAACAAAGUCACCGUAGCCCUUUGAUCCGUGGCACCGACCUUU
RNAcentral lists this long non-coding RNA (256 nucleotides) under Lathyrus oleraceus (garden pea). Its description in RNAcentral is "Pisum sativum (pea) long non-coding RNA (PSAT_LNC025189)". The record is from RNAcentral. Lineage: Eukaryota; Viridiplantae; Streptophyta; Magnoliopsida; Fabales; Fabaceae.